AGUAAAGAUUAAAUGUGCUUCUCAAAGGCAGCCACUUCAUGCUGCUAUGUCGAAAGGGCCAUUAUUAUUAUUAUAUUUUAAUGGUAAAAGAGAAAAGGAGAGAGGUUGAGCGAGCGAGAGAGAAGCUAGGUGUGAUGAUGACAGACUAGCUUUUCUGAGAGGAAAAGGAAAAGGGAAGGGAGAGAAAAAGGAGAGCCUCUGAGCUCAACGGAGGAUUGUGCCUGAGAAGAACCCACAGAGGAAAGCCCCACUUCCAGUCUGAUGAGGAAAGCGACAAUCUAUCAGGUACAGAACCAGGGGCUGUCUGCGAAGAUGGAGGGGAAUUAUGCUUCGGAUUCCUCUGAAAUAUUGGCCAAAGGCUUCAAAGAAUCCGCAGCGGGAGGUGCGGGGGGAAUGUCUCUCCCCAGCCCGCACCCAGCCCUUCCCACUUCGUGUCUACCAAAUGACAGCCUGGUGCUCGCUCUUGGUGAUUUGGCCUUGACUUCAGCCAAGCAGCUGAUGCAGACGAAGCCUCCGUUUGCAGGACUGGCAAAGUGCACGCUAAAGAAAGAAGGAAGAAAUUUUUCAAAAAGCAGCUCUGGGGAGGUUUCAUACUCCCCCCCCCCCCCCGCCUUUUUUUAAUUUUUAAGUGAAUAUUUUCCAAAUUUGAUCAGUUCCAGCCCCUCCCUCCACUCCCACCCAACUGCCCUUUUUUCUCUCGUCAAAGCAUAAGCUACAGAGUUACAGUCUCGAGAUUUGGUGUAUCGCUUCCUGCCCCCGCCUCCCCUCCCCGCCCCCGUUCUCCGUCCUCUAUUGAAACACCUCGCCCAGCCUAGCGCACUGAGAGCUCUCAUUUUCCCCCCUUGCUCGGGAUGGUGCCACAGGAGGCUGUGCGGGCCCCGCUCCGCUUCGAAUGGUUGUGUUGAUGUUCCUUUCAGCUGGUCCUAUAGUACCCCUCCUCAGGAAUGUCUCCCCAGUGCAAGGACAAAGACUGAAGAGACUGCUAUAUUGAUGGACUCUCAAGCCAACUAUGAAGUUGAAACAAAGAAAGUGAUCACCUGAAGACACCUCCUCUGCUAAGAAACACCCCCAAAUUGUGCAGCUUCUGCCACUAGAACUCUCAGAACAAGAGACAAUCUUUUCAAGAAACAGAAAAACUCAAUAAUGACAUCUAGAUUUUCAUGAGCCAAGAACUUUCCCUUCCUCAUGUGUAUUCCUCUGUUUGUACUUAAAUUCAUGUGACAUUCAUUUUUUUCCUAGUAUGGAUAUGCUUAUUAAUGCACUUGUUUCAAAAUCCCAAAUUGCACAAAUGUGUUAAUAUUUUAAGAAACAAAAUGAAUCCUACAAGGAGAAUGAUUUUUAGCCACACAUAGGGUUGGAUCUUGAGAGUGACCUACAGAAUAAAAGUACUUUUAAAAUAAAGUAGUCAGAGGCUAUUCAAAGGGUAAAAUAAUCAUAGUACCACAUUGGUCCACUUGACACUAACCAAUCGAUCAUUUUUUUUUAAUCAAGAAAGCUAGAUUCUAUCAGAUAAAAUCACUGCUUCUAAAGAGUUUAAAUCUAGUUAGAAAAAGUUAUAGAAAUGUUUGCAAAGAUAAGUAACAGAUAGAGUCAGUAGAGGAUAAGAUCAAAAACAAAACCAAGCAAAAGAUGAGUUCAGGGGAGUUUGCCAUCAAGUUGGCAAAACUGACUUACUUAGGGAAGAAAGUUAUAAAACAGGAAAAUAUGAGAUGAACCUUGAGUGAUGUGGAAGAUUUAGAUAAAUGGAAAGGAAGGAGAAAAUGGAGUUCUUUAGGUGGUUGUAAUUGGAGGAGGAAAUGAAUACACACAUCUUGUUGACUUAAACCCAGACAUUCAGCAGCUCUCUAUACAUAUCUGGAAAAGACUGCACAGUCACCUCCUGUCUCUCACCCCAGGUAUUACUUAGAAUUAUUAUCAUAUUUCCCUUCCUUUAAAGUAAGUAAGGGUGAUUGGUGACAAUAUGGAGAACUAUGAUUUUUCCAUUAACCUAAUAAUAAUUGGUAUUUAUUGAGUUCUGUUAAGCAUUUUACAUAUUAACUCACUUAAGCCUUUCAACAGCCUUGCAAAAUAGGUAUUAUUAUCCCCAUUUUACAGGCAAGAAAACUGAGGUUUAAGUAACUUGCCGAAGUGCCAUAUACAGGGCUCACAUUCAGUAUUGCAGUUGCAAAGCUCAUGAUCUAUAGUGCCAAGUUGCAAUAUUGUAGUCAAUGUCACAAUUAUUACCCCUUUUUAUAUUCCUUGAUAUUUUUCCAUGGCAAACAAUUAGCUAUUUCAUUUAAUAAUCACCUAAAACUUUUCAGUCUUCUGAUUAAAAUUACGCUGGAGUGAUAGAAUGUAUUUUCAUGAUAGAAAUUGGGAAAAAAAAUGGGGAAUGAAGUUUAUCAGCAUUUCAGACUUGUUUUUUUUUUUUUUUUUUGCAAGACUUUGAUGAGAUUGUUCACUUUUGUCUAUGUAAAAUCCCAAAUCCUUGAGAAUAAAAAAGGGGGAGGUUUAAGUCACUUGUUGCAAUGCCCUUUUUAAUAGAGGCAAUAAAUCUAAAGGCCAUAAAUUUAGAGUGACUUACAGAAGAUCGAACUUUGGAGUGUGGCAGAGUAAGGGAUGGAAACCGGGCCCUCCAGUUCACUAUCAGUAGCUUUUGCACUGGUCUGCCCUUCCUAAAUUAAGUAUGCACUUCAAUUUGAUGAGUGGAAACAGUCUAUCUGGGCAGUAACCAGGGAGCUUUGUGCCUAGUAGAUUGCUUCUGUUCUGCACUUCUUUGGUUUCCCACCUCAAUGUAAAAAAUAGCUAGCAAUGAAGUCCAGAAGUUGUCAAUGGUUCAUCCCCAGAAGAAUGCAUAAUGUCCAAAGUUGUAUGUGUAUGAUGUCUUCAAUGGUAUUAAGUUAUUUCAAAUUCUUAGUUCACCUACAUAAAUCAUUUCUAACAAGCAUCUUCUUAACCAACUUUAUGCACAGUGUAUGUUUGUAAGUGCUUCUGCACGAAUGUUUAUACAUGACUGUUUCCAUAGUACUUAUGUUUUUAAAAAUAUUCAGUCAUUUCCUACUAUAAUCCUCAUGUAUCCAUGUAACUGACUCAAAAAUACUUCAGCCACAGAAAGCUAAAACUGAGCAAAUCUCAUUCUUCUUUUCCAUCCCCUUUGCAUGUGGCUGGCAUUUAGUAAUGAUUAAUAAUAUGGCCAGCUGAAUAACAGAGGUUUGAGACACAAUUCUUUCUCAAAGGAGUCAGCUAAGCUGGGUCUACUUAUGGACAAACAUCUAAAUGUGUGGAAGUAUCUGAUAUUUGACAAUGGUAAAUUUCCACUUAGCUAGCUAGCAUUGUCAGACUUCAAUCUCCUCAUGGCUCUGGCCGUCCUGUUUUAAGCAUGAUAAUUGUUGGCCACAUCUCACAUAGUUCUCAUUGAGUGAGUUCAUAAAUAAACAGGGUUUUUUUUUUUUUUUAAAGAGCAGCCAAGCACAAAGUGUGACUUUGUUGACAUUUUAUGUGACUUUGUCAUAUGUUCCUAACCCCCAAUAAAAGC
Molecule: long non-coding RNA, 3514 nt
Organism: Homo sapiens (human)
Lineage: Eukaryota; Metazoa; Chordata; Mammalia; Primates; Hominidae
Gene: MIR100HG
Product: mir-100-let-7a-2-mir-125b-1 cluster host gene
Source: Ensembl